This 491-nucleotide ribosomal RNA is filed under the name uncultured bacterium. Its description in RNAcentral is "bacterial SSU rRNA". It matches the Rfam family "Bacterial small subunit ribosomal RNA", at positions 348 to 837 of the family's 1533-position model. The record is from RNAcentral.
GCAGCAGUAGGGAAUAUUGGGCAAUGGGCGGAAGCCUGACCCAGCCAUGCCGCGUGCAGGAAGACGGCGUUCUGCGUUGUAAACUGCUUUUAUCAGGGAAGAAAAGGCCCAUGCGUGGGAAAUUGCCGGUACCUGGUGAAUAAGCACCGGCUAACUCCGUGCCAGCAGCCGCGGUAAUACGGAGGGUGCGAGCGUUGUCCGGAUUUAUUGGGUUUAAAGGGUGCGUAGGCGGCUUUUUAAGUCAGCGGUGAAAGUUUUCGGCUCAACCGGAAAAAUGCCGUUGAUACUGGGGAGCUUGAGUCACGGAAGGGUACAUGGAAUUGGUGGUGUAGCGGUGAAAUGCAUAGAUACCAUCAGGAACACCGAUAGCGAAGGCAUUGUACUUGCCGUGAACUGACGCUGAGGCACGAAAGCGCGGGUAGCGAACAGGAUUAGAUACCCUGGUAGUCCGCGCCGUAAACGAUGAUCACUCGCUGUUAUCCCCUUUGCGG